This 996-nucleotide ribosomal RNA is filed under the name 'Dimocarpus longan' witches'-broom phytoplasma. RNAcentral describes it as "bacterial SSU rRNA". It matches the Rfam family "Bacterial small subunit ribosomal RNA", at positions 258 to 1260 of the family's 1533-position model. The record is from RNAcentral. Lineage: Bacteria; Bacillati; Mycoplasmatota; Mollicutes; Acholeplasmatales; Acholeplasmataceae.
UAAGGGCCUACCAAGACGAUGAUGUGUAGCUGGACUGAGAGGUUGAACAGCGACAUUGGGACUGAGACACGGCCCAAACUCCUACGGGAGGCAGCAGUAGGGAAUUUUCGGCAAUGGAGGAAACUCUGACCGAGCAACGCCGCGUGAAUGACGAAGUACUUCCGGUAUGUAAAGUUCUUUUAUCGAGGAAGAAAAGCAAAUGGGAACCCAUUUGUUUGCCGGUACUUAAUGAAUAAGCCCCGGCUAAUUAUGUGCCAGCAGCCGCGGUAAGACAUAAGGGGCAAGUGUUAUCCGGAAUUAUUGGGCGUAAAGGGUGCGUAGGCGGUCUAGUAAGUCAGUGGUGUAAUGGCAACGCUUAACGUUGUCCGGCUAUUGAAACUGCUAAACUUGAGUUAGAUAGAGGCGAGUGGAAUUCCAUGUGUAGCGGUAAAAUGCGUAAAUAUAUGGAGGAACACCAGAGGCGUAGGCGGCUCGCUGGGUCUUAACUGACGCUGAGGCACGAAAGCGUGGGGAGCAAACAGGAUUAGAUACCCUGGUAGUCCACGCCGUAAACGAUGAGUACUAAGUGUCGGGUUAAACCGGUACUGAAGUUAACACAUUAAGUACUCCGCCUGAGUAGUACGUACGCAAGUAUGAAACUUAAAGGAAUUGACGGGACUCCGCACAAGCGGUGGAUCAUGUUGUUUAAUUCGAAGAUACCCGAAAAACCUUACCAGGUCUUGACAUGUUUUUGCAAAAUGAUAGUAAUAUCGUGGAGGUUACCAGAAACACAGGUGGUGCAUGGUUGUCGUCAGCUCGUGUCGUGAGAUGUUAGGUUAAGUCCUAAAACGAGCGAAACCCUUAUCGUUAGUUGCCAGCACGUUAUGGUGGGGACUUUAACGAGACUGCCAAUGAUAAAUUGGAGGAAGGUGAGGAUCACGUCAAAUCAGCAUGCCCCUUAUGACCUGGGCUACAAACGUGAUACAAUGGCUGUUACAAAGGGUAGCUGAAACGAUA